UUUUGGACAAUGGGGGCAACCCUGAUCCAGCCAUGCCGCGUGAGUGAAGAAGGCCUUCGGGUUGUAAAGCUCUUUCGGACGGAACGAAAUGGGCGGGACUAAUACUCCUGUCUGAUGACGGUACCGUAAGAAGAAGCACCGGCUAACUACGUGCCAGCAGCCGCGGUAAUACGUAGGGUGCGAGCGUUAAUCGGAAUUACUGGGCGUAAAGCGUGCGCAGGCGGUUUCGUAAGCUGGAGGUGAAAUCCCCGGGCUUAACCUGGGAAUGGCCUUCAGGACUGCGAGGCUAGAGUGCGGCAGAGGGAGGUGGAAUUCCACGUGUAGCAGUGAAAUGCGUAGAGAUGAGGAGGAACACCGAUGGCGAAGGCAGCCUCCUGGGCCAGCACUGACGCUCAUGCACGAAA
Molecule: ribosomal RNA, 404 nt
Filed under: uncultured bacterium
Lineage: Bacteria
Description: bacterial SSU rRNA
Rfam family: Bacterial small subunit ribosomal RNA
Source: RNAcentral